CCUCCCCUUCAAUAAAAAAAAAAUCCAGCAACAACAACAAAAAACAUCUGUGAAAUUCCAUGUGCUGGGUUUGGAGGAGCCAGAUAUGUGUACGUAUUGUGAAUUGUGGCACCUGGAGGGGUACUGGUGCUGCCUGGGAAGCACGUGGAAUCACGUUAACUCAAUAAGGCAGAGCAACAUUCAACUCAUAGUUAAUUGUUAACUCAUAACUCAUACUGCGGCACUCAUUAGCUGUGUCACUCAUCCUCGCUGUGCUUGGUUUCCUCAUCUCUGGAAUGGGCGUGGUUUCAGUAUGUACCUCACAGGGCUGCCAGGAGGUUUGAAAGACGCAACACAGGAAGAACCUGGCACAGUUCCUGGUCCUUUCUAGAAGCUCUAUGGGUAACCCAUUACUAUUAUUAUUUGUUUUAUUAUAUAAAAGUGAGUUGAAUGCCUUUUUUUCAGUCUUUAAAAUGUCUUGAUUCAACCUGGAAGGCAUUAUGAUGUGGUGGAGGCCUGUGUAACACAGUGGGUACAGCAAGGACUAUGUGACAACAACAACAAUGGCAACAACAACAACACCUGACUGGGGGGAAUUAGUAAAAUGAAAUGACCUAUGUAAAAUAGGUCGUUGUACCUGGCAUACUGCCAACUCUCAACAAACUUUCACUGCUAUUAUUGCCAUUAUUUCAGGAAGACGUUGGUGGAGAUGAGUAUGGAACCACACCUCCAAACACUGCACUUGUUUUUGGGCAGUAAUCCCAGCCCAUCCUUUUUUACUUGGGGCCAGCUUGCACUUGCUUUCUACUCUUUGGUUCCUGGACGCCUGGAUUGGUGCUUGAGCUCUUUCCAUGUUUGCUACCUUCUGCCUUGGUGAUUCCCCAUAUUCUCCUUUUGGAGUUGGAUGUUACCAUCCUGCAUCAUUCCUAAAUGGUUCAGAGCAGUGUGUGUGUGUGUGUGUGUGUGUGUGUGUGUGUGUGUGUGUGAACAUGCUCCUGUGCAUGCGUGCACGUGUGCAGCUCAUGUGUGCAUGCAUGUGUGCACGGGUGUGCACACCUUGCUGUGUGUAGAGGAACUGAGAAGGCGGAUACAGAUGUUCUGCAGGCACAAGUAGUAAAAUCUCAUAAUUGCAUAUGUCAAGAUGAGGCUCAUUCACAUGUGAUGUGGCUGGUCUUGGCUCCUGCUCUCUGCCUCUCACUUCCAUCCCCUAGCCUUGGGGAGAAGGAAAUGUGGAAAGGAGGCCAGGGCUGACGGGAAAUGAGGGGUCAGUGGAGGUAGCUGCUUUUGUCACCCAGUGUUCUGGUGGCCAAAUCUUUCUUGGAGUCACUGCCAUUGCCCUGUAAGUCCUAGGCAGCUGCUCGGCCCAGACAUGCCAACAUAAAUCUGAGUCACCAGGCGUUUAUCAGGGAUGUUUCUCUGAAAAGUUAAUUUUACUAAGAUGAGAAAACAAACUAAAAUUUGUUAGGAAUGACAGCUCUCUGUGGUCCUCAGCUUCCUUCUCUUAGAAGUUCUCAGUAUCAGCACGUGCUUAUCUGUCUGUCUCCCUUGCUGGGCUGUGAGCAACUUUUGGGCAGGUGCGGUGCUUUGUUUACUGUCUUCCUCUGGUGUCCGGUAGAUAAUAAGCACAAGAACUUCACAAGUCUUUGGAGUGUGAAUGAGUGAGUUCAUUCUGAAGCAUCAGGUAGCUGUACCUGUUACUGGGCCCCCUUUGCUGAGAGCGUAUCAAAGCUCUCUGGGUGGAACAGGUCUGGUGUGGUUCUAGGGAUGCUGCUCUUUAUGAUGGUGCUACUGGUGAGAGAGGCUUCUGGAGACUGGUAAAAGAGAUAGAAGUGGAUAUAAAGGGGUGAAAUAACAGGUGGAAAUUUGCAGUCAGCUUCCAGCAGAGCAGGAGGUAGAAGAGCAGAUUAUUUGCCUCUUUGACAGCCUGCGUGGCCAAAUUUCCUGUGGUGGGAGAGAGGCUGGGAACAGAAGAAAGGGACCGACUGCUCUGUAGUUGUCCAGCAUUGACCAGCAUGGGGCCAGAAAGGAACCAAUGUAUAUUGGGUAGCUUUACUAUCCCAUUUUACAGAAAGGGUGGCUGAAAUCCAUUCACUAAUUCAACACAUGUUUAUUGAGCACCUACUAUAUUCCAGACCCUGUCCUGUGAACUGGAGUAUAGCCAAGUUUGAUGGAUAUACUGUGUGCACCUGUAGGGAAUUUGGGGCCAAUAUCCAUUCUGAUUGGUAUCCAUGUUGGCUGGUGGUUACGCAUUUUGACUGUCCCCUCUUUAGCAGAGAACAAAACAAAGUCCCAGCUCUCUUGUGCUCACUUUCUGGAGACAGACAAUGAACAUACACAUAAACACAUGUAUAAUAGGUGAUGAUUAGUGCUAUAAAGAAAAGCAAACAGGACACAGGGGCAGAGGCAGGACCUAGGUUUGGUGGAUCAGAAGAAGGAUGACCGCUUGACCUCCGUCCACAAAGCCUGUGAUAAAGGGACUGUAGAAGAAGCUGGCCAUGA
Molecule: long non-coding RNA, 2478 nt
Filed under: Canis lupus familiaris (dog)
Lineage: Eukaryota; Metazoa; Chordata; Mammalia; Carnivora; Canidae
Description: lncRNA (ENSCAFG00845022291.1)
Source: RNAcentral